RNAcentral lists this ribosomal RNA (262 nucleotides) under uncultured archaeon. RNAcentral's name for it is "partial 16S ribosomal RNA". It matches the Rfam family "Archaeal small subunit ribosomal RNA", at positions 719 to 982 of the family's 1478-position model. The record is from RNAcentral.
ACGUCUACAUUAGAUACCCGCGUAGUCCCAGCCGUAAACUAUGCGCGUUAGGUGUAUCGGUGACCACGAGUUACCGAGGUGCCGAAGGGAAACCGUGAAACGUGCCGCCUGGGAAGUACGGUCGCAAGGCUGAAACUUAAAGGAAUUGGCGGGGAGCACCACAACAGGUGGAGCCUGCGGUUUAAUCGGAUUCAACGCCGGACAUCUCACCGGAUAAGACAGCUGAAUGAUUGUCAAUCUGAAGGUUUUACAUGACUAGCUG